This 491-nucleotide ribosomal RNA is filed under the name uncultured bacterium. RNAcentral's name for it is "partial 16S ribosomal RNA". It matches the Rfam family "Bacterial small subunit ribosomal RNA", at positions 29 to 506 of the family's 1533-position model. The record is from RNAcentral.
AGUGAACGCUGGCGGUAGGCCUAACACAUGCCAGUCGAACGGCAGCACAGUAAGAGCUUGCUCUUACGGGUGGCGAGUGGCGGACGGGUGAGGAAUACAUCGGAAUCUACUUUUUCGUGGGGGAUAACGUAGGGAAACUUACGCUAAUACCGCAUACGACCUACGGGUGAAAGCAGGGGAUCUUCGGACCUUGCGCGAUUGAAUGAGCCGAUGUCGGAUUAGCUAGUUGGCGGGGUAAAGGCCCACCAAGGCGACGAUCCGUAGCUGGUCUGAGAGGAUGAUCAGCCACACUGGAACUGAGACACGGUCCAGACUCCUACGGGAGGCAGCAGUGGGGAAUAUUGGACAAUGGGCGCAAGCCUGAUCCAGCCAUACCGCGGGGGUGAAGAAGGCCUUCGGGUUGUAAAGCCCUUUUGUUGGGAAAGAAAAGCAGCAGGUUAAUACCCCGCUGUUCUGACGGUACCCAAAGAAUAAGCACCGGCUAACUUCGU